CAGGAAUCAAGCACUACUCUAAAUUCCUGAAACUGACAACAUCCAGCCAGUAAGGUUAACAAGAGGGACCAGCAGAGACACAGGUCUUGGGAAGAGAAAGGCAGCCCUGUGUCGGUCAUCAGGAUCCACUUACAAGCAAGAUCCACAUGGAGCACUGGUUUAGAACUUCUAUAAAGGUUUCCCCUGCCUCAGGCUAUGUAGGCGUCUAGCCCAAGGUGACACUGAAGUGGCUGGAGAAGCCAGCUGCAAUCAAAGGGCUGUCAAGGAUUUGCCAUUGGAGUUGACAUAACCUCAGUAACUAACCACUUUUGUAAAGAGGUAUUGAUAACUUUAAAAAUCACAGUGUUCUUCCAGAACUGAUAGUUCAACCUUAUCUAUUCAGC
This 383-nucleotide long non-coding RNA is filed under the name Felis catus (domestic cat). Its description in RNAcentral is "lncRNA (ENSFCAG00000049881.1)". The record is from RNAcentral. Lineage: Eukaryota; Metazoa; Chordata; Mammalia; Carnivora; Felidae.